Molecule: small nuclear RNA, 19 nt
Filed under: Arabidopsis thaliana (thale cress)
Lineage: Eukaryota; Viridiplantae; Streptophyta; Magnoliopsida; Brassicales; Brassicaceae
Description: snRNA_13337
Source: RNAcentral
GGCGACUCGCGAAAGCCCA